GAUGAACGCUGGCGGCGUGCUUAACACAUGCAAGUCGAACGAUGAAGAAGAGCUUGCUCUUCGGAUUAGUGGCGAACGGGUGAGUAACACGUGACUAACCUGCCCCUUUCUCUGGGAUAACGCUCCGAAAGGAGUGCUAAUACCGGAUACUCACAUCGAGGCACAUGCCUUGAUGUGGAAAGUUUUUCGGAAAGGGAUGGAGUCGCGGCCUAUCAGCUUGUUGGUGAGGUAACGGCUCACCAAGGCGACGACGGGUAGCCGGCCUGAGAGGGCGACCGGCCACACUGGGACUGAGACACGGCCCAGACUCCUACGGGAGGCAGCAGUGGGGAAUAUUGCACAAUGGGCGAAAGCCUGAUGCAGCGACGCCGCGUGGGGGAUGAAGGUCUUCGGAUUGUAAACCUCUUUCAGUAGGGACGAAGCGAAAGUGGCGGUACCUAAAGAAGAAGCACCGGCUAACUACGUGCCAGCCGCCGCUGUAA
This 482-nucleotide ribosomal RNA is filed under the name uncultured bacterium. RNAcentral's name for it is "partial 16S ribosomal RNA". It matches the Rfam family "Bacterial small subunit ribosomal RNA", at positions 28 to 523 of the family's 1533-position model. The record is from RNAcentral.